GGAGAGAGAGGGAGAGAGAGGGAGAGAGAGAGAGAGACAGAGAGAGAGAGAUUGCCGAGGAUCGGAAGACGGGAGGCAAAUCUGGCACAACCCCUGGGGAAGAAACUCGACGCUCCGCCACCACUGAGACGCCUAAAGGAUCCUGUGUGUGCUGCCGCCGCUCUGGGACUGGAUCUUGUCUCUUCUGGUUGGAGCGCCUCGAUUCCUGGCCUGCUGGAUUUGGGGGGCUGCACUGCCUGGCGCUGGGAGAUCAAGUGAGUAUCUGGGCGGCCCGCACUGCCCGCCGCGCCCCGCGCUCUGCGCCUCGCCUCAGAGCCCACCGCGGGCCGCUCCGAGCGCCAGUCCGGGCUUUGCUACAGCUAAUUGAUUGUGUGCCUCGGAUGCCAAACCUGUUGAUCUCGGGAGUUGUCUGAGCCUGGACUAUUAAUUAUCCACCGGCCGGAUCCCCCAGUCGCAGAAAGAGGCCAGGAAAAUUUCGCUUUGGAGAAGGGAAUUUCGUAUAGGGUUUUGUGUUGUUGGUGGUGGGACUUUUCCUUCUUAAAUCUACGGCUAAAUACAGUGGUCUUUUGCGUCCCUGGUUUCCGGAUUCGCAUUUUGAAUAAUUCACCUCCUUUAACCUCUCAAAGUUGCAAUUUCGUCCCAAGGAAGCGAGGGUCUGAGUGGAUCCUGUUAGAAACUUCUGUAAGGGAUCUAAGUAGAGCUGGUGGGUCUCCGCUUCCCUUUUCUUUGCCUUUUGGAUUUGGAGAGGCGAGAGGCUGUUGUGCAGGGUUAUCCCAAGUUUAGCUUCGUCUACAGGCACCCUUCGCGGUGAGUUACUGGGACUUGGGCCGGGUCAGCUCCAGGAGCUGCUGGGGUCGGAGCAGAACCUGGGCUUAGCGGUCUGCUCGGAGCCCAGACCCGGCCGGGGAAGGCGAGACCUUUCGGUGGCCUGGACUUCACCGCGGGAGCCCAGGCCUUGGGGAACCCACGCGACGAUACAUUUGUGUUAGGGUCUGAGGCGUUUUCUCUUGCAAAUGUGCCCGCAGCGUCUGAAUGGGGACCGUCCGGCGGGGUCAGAGCCGCCGUGGACCUGGUCAGAAGUUAGACCGAAGGCCUGUCAAGUCACGGCCACGGCCGGGGCCCACAUGCACUCCGCCCUGUCUUGGUGCCCGCAGCUGCCUGCCAGGCCACCUUCCUCCUCCGCCUUGGCAGCAGUAAUUAGGGCGCUGUCUCGGGACGAGCUACCAUAGUCAGCAUAAUUGAACCCGUGCAGUACUUUCAUUUUGCAAAAGCAGUAGCCCCACCCCACCAGUCCAUAAUAACAAGAAGCAUAAAAAAUCAUAAAAGAAAAGCAACCUAUUUUCAGGAGUGUAAGACUUCCUGAAUAUUGGAUCGUGGAGGGAUGGGGGAAGGGAAUAAAAAAUCCACCACUUUACAGCAAUCAGGUUUUACAUUAUUCAUUGAUUUACUGGAGGAGCGAGCCAAUCAGGAGCCAUAGACAUGAAUGCACAUCUCACCGUGCUGUGGCCUUACAGUAAACUAUUUGCAUCUUUCUAAUGGAUUAGACAUUUAUCCAGGGAUUCCCAUUGUUUGAAAGGCCUGCAAAUCCAGUCUCUUAAACAUUUAGAAAAUAAGACUUUGUUCCUAAAAUCCUUACGUGGAAGGACUCUCACUCCUCUUUUGUAUGGCAGGUUACAAGGUUCAAACCCCUAAUGUUUCUUAAGUCCCUCUCCUUUGCAAGCUAAAAAUAAAAGAAAAGGAGAAAGAAAAAUUAAUUUUCCAAGCCUCUCCAGAUUCUGCAUAUUUUGCAUUUCUAUUAUUAUGCAUGUCUCCAUUUAAAUGCAAAUUAGCAUAUUUAACCCUGUGGGUGCUGGAGCUCAGGAAAUGCUCAACUGGGGUUUAGGGAGCCUCUUAGCAUUUUAAGGAUUCCUAGUAAUUGCAAUACUUUAAAUGAAGCCAUACCUAGAUAUGAUUUUGUGUAUAUAUGUAUAUAUAUAAACUGUGAUCAUUUGUUUUCUUGACUAUUUUUCAGAUGAGACUGCACAGAAGCAUAAAAUGAAUAGACUGUCCAUCCAACCAAAGGGAACAAUGAAGAUUGAUCAUCUUCCAUAUUAUCAGCUUCAUUAAUAGAAUGGAAGUAGCUUCAUUAAUAAUGGAAGGUGAUCUGCCAGUUCACAAUUGUUUUUAUGGACUUCCUUUUUCUCAGGUAAAGGGUACAAAUGUCAAGCUGUCAACCAAAAAUUUAGGGCCUCUAUAAAUAUUGUGCUGUAUUAUAAUUUUAAACUUCUUUUCAAAAUGCCUUUUUUCAUUUUAACCCACCAUUUUUUUCUAUAAAAUUUCUUUUGAGAUGAAGAAGGCAAUUUUGGGGGUUAAAGUACACUGUAUUUCCACUACAGUUUCCAGAUAAAGAGGUACGAGGAGAUGUAUGGUAGGUAGCAGAGCCUAGGCCACACAUGAUAUGCCUGUGUGCGUGCGUGCGUGUGUGCGUGCAUGUGUGUGUGCGUGUGUGCGUGCGCGUAUCUUCCAAGAUUACCCUUUCUGUGUACCACCUAAGCUCUCCCUGUUCACACUACUGUUGUAUGGAAGAAUCUUCUGUUUGCUUCUGUUAUAUUUCUUCAAGAAAAAGACUGUUGAAGUGCUUAUUGUCAAUUAAAUAGCAUGGUCAUUUGUUGAAGAAUUCAAACAUUCGAAUGUCAAAGAAAUUAUCCGAUUUGAAAAUUAGAAAAAGUAUUUAUCACAGACACAUCUACACACUCUCAUAAUGCAAUCUUUCUUUGUCUGUCUAGCUGUAUUUCCAAAACCUGUUCAAAAUGGGGACUUGACAGAAUGCCUCACUAAAAAUGAUGCCACAUAAUAUUCCAAUAUUAGCUGAAGAGAUGACCAGAGCAAAUAACUUCUGUCUUGAAACUAUGCUGAAAUUAGAUAAAAGUUUCUAUUUUUCACAAUGUAACUUGGUCAAAAGGAUUUUGGACUUAAAUUACAUAGUAGAAAAUAAAAUCAUUCUUUGGAAAUUUUCUCCAUGGUAAAAUUUUUAAUAUUUUUUUUGCUGUUGUUUACGAGUAUACAUUUUAAACAAAUAUUAAAUGGCAUUGUCACUGUUGGGAUUUCACACUUUUUGGUAAAAAUAUAUUUUAAGUAUUACCAAUACCAUAAUAAAAUAAUAAAGCCUUUCUAGAAAGUAAAAUGCUUUUAAGUUAUGAUUUUCAUUCAUUUCUAAUCUAGAAGGGGACUUAUUUGAUGGCUGUAGCCUAUAAUUAGUGAGAUUAGUAAGCAAGACAACUGUGAUUUAUUUUACCAGAAACGCUGAGAGUUUGAAAACAUCUGGCCUGGAUGAGUGCAGUGGCAAAGUUCAAAGCACACCUGAAUUUGUUUUGCUACAUUAUUCUCUUCAGAGAGACGUGAGAUAUUACAGUCUCUGCAGAAGGACGAGUCCACAGUGUCAAAGUCAAAUAAUAUUUGUUUUAUGGCAGCAGAAUUUCAGAUCAUAUUUCUAAAGACAGUAAAUACUUAGGUGGACAUCAGUGAAUCCUAAACGCUUCUUGAUGUGAUAUAUCCAUAGGCACACCCACAAAUACACAUGGUGGCUUGCAGUGGUUGAAAAAUUACAGUCUGAGUCUAUUCAAAGAUCUGGCAAUUUCAGGUCACAGUGGGAUGGUGGAAGACUCCCUUGCCAACACUGGUGUUGCAGGGUUGUUUGUUGUUUGGCUUGUUGGUGAUGCUUAGGCAAGGAGACACUUCCUUUCAGAUUCUGUCUUCCAAACCCCAGGGCUCUGUUCUGGCCAGUUCAGCCUAAUGGAAUUAAGCCUGACACGUUUCAACUCCGUUUCUUUAUAAAAUAAACAUAAAACAAUGGUUUAGAUUUCUAAUAAAACUCUUGAAGCAGAGAGGACCCCCUUUCCCUGUCCUUUACAUGUCUGUAAAUAAAGCACAUAAAAGAAGAACACAACAGGAUAAAUCAACAUAAAUUUGAAAUCCACUGCAGCAUAUUAAAUGGCGCAGACUCCGUCAAAGGGAGGCUGACCCCAGGCUUCGUGCAGUUUGAAGCUAAUUGUUUUCGUCAGGAUGGGAACCUCUGGAAGUCCUCGGCUGUGUCCCACCAGUAAGACUCCAGUAACUGAGCUGGCCCACAGAGAAUGGCCCCACUUUGUAGCGACACAGCGGGCUCAGACACCACCUAUUCUGCACUCCAAACUGUCAUGCAUAACAACUUUAUUGUGCUAAAUUGAACUUGAAAGCACCCAAAGGCUAUGAGAAGGAGAGGCUAUGAGAAAAGCGUGCUGUCAGCGCUGGCAGAGGCUGACCAGGAAAGUGGGCUCGAGACAGGGGAAUAAAAGACCAGGCCCCAUGAACACAGCAUAUUGUUUCAUUUUAAAGUAUGACUCCCAUACCAGAGAAAGUAGCAAAUGUGAUGUAAAUUUAUUUAAAUAGAUUCGACCGCUGAAAAGUUUGCUAGCCGCUCUUAUCCAACUUUCCCAGCUCCCUGAUUCGUUACUUACAGUGGGAAUAUAAUGACACGCAGUCAUCAUUGUAACAGCUUCUUUGGAGCGCACAAUGAUGAUUAAUAGCCAGCAGCAAAUUUUCACAUGGGCUCUGAAGCACUGUGGUAUUAAGCAGCCAAACAGUCCCAAAUCCCCCUUUUCUGUCCCGCUGAAAAGUCCCUCCUUGUACCUUGCAGAUAGGAACAAAGCCUAUCUUAAUUCCAAUCAGCUUUUCCUCAUUCAAAGGGAACUUCUCUUUUUCAUAAUUGAUUCAUGUGCAUUUUUAGUGUUCCACUGAGCUGAAGCCACGUUUCCCCUUUUCUCUGUUCGGUCCCCACACUGCACCCAUCUUGAUUUUUUUUUGAAGGGGCGAGGAGUGAGAAACAUUUUAACAACAAUAAAAACUGGUGUGUGUGUGUGUGUGUGUGUGUGUGUGUGUGUUUCCUUCCGCAAAUAUUUGCUAGAUUUCUCAAUUAGUACUAGUUUGUGCUUUACAGCUAAAGGGUUUAAAGCAAAAGUUAACUCCCAUAUUUCUCUGUGGUUGGGAAUGGUUUUGGUUCUAAAGAGCGUGGACUAUACUGAAAUAGCUGUGGAGCCUGUGUCCAAGCUCAGCUCCCUGGCUCCCUGGUGGAGUCUGAGGCCCUGGUUCCCAUGAGAGACUCACAGCUGGAGCAAGGGCACAGUGUCUGGCUCCAGACAUAUUCUUUUCUCUUCUCCAUGCUGGUAGCCAUCAAAAAAGGAACAAGUGACCAGGGGAAGGCAGCAAAUUGAGCCUUCCUAACUCACUCUCCCCUUCUUAAGUAUCAUUUCACCCCAUAGUAAUCUUACAUCAGAAUUAUUAGCAGAAGCGCCUGUGCUAUUUGUAGAAGAGCUCUCUCCUCUACUGGUUCCACCUCCUGUGAUAACGACGCAAAUGACAUCAAGCAGCGCUGUCGUGGAAGGGGGUUUCCACAGGCAAAGUCAUUUGUGCUUCUGUGACAAUAUAAUAGCCAUAAAGUGCAGUGUUUCAGUAGAUAUACUUUGCAUAUUUGUUUACAUUUGAUAUUACCCAGCUCUCAGUUUUCUAUGUGAGUAAGGUGAUCAUAUACAGGACCCAGUUUGCUCAGGACAAAUCUCACUGUUGUCUAUUGUCCUUACAUAACUUUGACAAUGAGCUUUCACUCUCAAAAGAAUUUUGAUUUGAACAAUUUGAAAAAUACAUGCCUUUUUGCUAUUAAAACGUCCCUAAAUCACUUAAAUAAGCCAGGAGUGGGCUGUCUCUUACCGGCAGAGCCAUGGGGUGUUUCGUAUCAUACAUACCCCAGGUUAAAGGGAAAAAAACCAGACUCAGAAAGCCUACUUACUGCACAUGUUGCAGCACCAACUUUUGUCUUGCCCACUUUUAAGAGGUCAGUUGACCCUGUGCAGCUUCUUUGAUUUAUGGCAGAAAGGAGAUCAUUUGCUGAAAAGAAAAGACACGUUAUAAACCAGAUUGUAAGUGUGACACCCUCCGGCUGGGUCACAGUUCUCUCUGUGAACCAGAGCAACACACUUUACUGGCCAGAUAAAAAUACUCCACCGUACCUUAGAAUAGAACGGCCUUUCUUAUGUUUUGGUGUCUCAAAAUGGUUAAGUAAAGAAUAUACCCAACUGAUAGGAGGUCUUUUGUUCAUGGUUUUAGUGCUUAAAUGUUUUUUUAUUGAAAAACACAGGUCAAAAUGGCAUUGUAUUUUGUAUCUCUAUUAUAGUCUUUGUUCAAAAAUCCCAAACAGGUAAGUAUAAUGUAAUCUUUGGGUUAGAGAGCUGAAGUCUCCAAGAGUGUUACAAAUCCACACGGCAGUGUCUGUAAGGGUUGGGUUUUGGGUGCAGAUUACAGAAUUAAUGAGAGAUGUACACUUUUAGUUGGAGAGCUUCCUACUGAUGGGGCCUCCAUGAAGGUUCAUGGAUGUUAAUUCCUGAAAGCAUGUGGAACAAAUGGACUCCAACUACUCUGGCUUCAAAAUAACCAUAGCAAACCCUAAAAUUUCCUGUUUUCCAUCAAAUCAUGGCCCCUGUUCUGGUACUGAAUCAGGUACAGAAUCAGGACUCCGCCCAAAUUCUCCUUUGGAGGAACCCAGUCUAUUGGUAAAACCCGACUUCCCAAGCCAAAUCUGGGCCUAUCCAAUAUUUAUUAGCACAUUUUAUUUCCUUUUUAAGAUAAUUUUUUCAGAAGUGAAAUGAAUGAAGAAUGUGAAAGAUGUUGUCAGAUACAGUCAAUUUUUAAAAACGUUUUACCUAUUUCCUUUUGUGUGUGACAUUUUUGGAGACACUAGAACCAGUUCCACUAUUCUGUCCUCCUCUAAUGGUGAUGGCACACUGUCCUCUCCGUAGAACUAUGGAAUGAGUUACCACUGAAGCCUAACUUUUGGAAAUCACUUGGUAUUUGUCAGUCCCUUCUCUGAGAAUCUAACAGAGCUGGUUCCCCUGACAGCUCUGUCAUUUUGCAUGUGGCUGGAUCUGUUCCCAAAAGUUUUGUCUCAUCCUGCUAGCUCUUUGAAGAAGAUGCAGAUGUUUCUUAAAACAUUAAAGGAAAUUCUUGUACCUGAUGUGCUAGAACAAGUCUGAAUUCUGUUAAAUCUAAUGUGAAUAUACUAAGUAAAACUGUUUU
RNAcentral lists this long non-coding RNA (7083 nucleotides) under Heterocephalus glaber (naked mole-rat). RNAcentral's name for it is "lncRNA (ENSHGLG00100045519.1)". The record is from RNAcentral. Lineage: Eukaryota; Metazoa; Chordata; Mammalia; Rodentia; Bathyergidae.